Molecule: transfer RNA, 65 nt
Filed under: Dipodomys ordii (Ord's kangaroo rat)
Lineage: Eukaryota; Metazoa; Chordata; Mammalia; Rodentia; Heteromyidae
Rfam family: tRNA
About the family: Transfer RNA (tRNA) molecules are approximately 80 nucleotides in length. Their secondary structure includes four short double-helical elements and three loops (D, anti-codon, and T loops). Further hydrogen bonds mediate the characteristic L-shaped molecular structure. tRNAs have two regions of fundamental functional importance: the anti-codon, which is responsible for specific mRNA codon recognition, and the 3' end, to which the tRNAs corresponding amino acid is attached (by aminoacyl-tRNA synthetases). tRNAs cope with the degeneracy of the genetic code in two manners: having more than one tRNA (with a specific anti-codon) for a particular amino acid; and 'wobble' base-pairing, i.e. permitting non-standard base-pairing at the 3rd anti-codon position.
Source: Rfam by way of RNAcentral
GGUGGCUCAGUGGUAGAGCGCUUGCCUUACAUGCAUAAAGCCCUGGGUUCAAUUCCUCAGUACCA